UACAGAGGGUGCUAGCGUUGUUCGGAAUCAUUGGGCGUAAAGAGCGUGUAGGCGGCCCGGUAAGUCCGCUGUGAAAGUCCAGGGCUCAACCCUGGGAUGCCGGUGGAUACUGUCGGGCUCGAGUCCGGAAGAGGAGUGUGGAAUUCCGUGGUGUAGCGGUGAAAUGCGCAGAUAUCAGGAGGACACCAAUGGCGAAGGCAGCACUCUGGGACGUGACUGACGCUGAGACGCGAAAGCGUGGGGAGCAAACAGG
This 253-nucleotide ribosomal RNA is filed under the name uncultured bacterium. Its description in RNAcentral is "partial 16S ribosomal RNA". It matches the Rfam family "Bacterial small subunit ribosomal RNA", at positions 524 to 776 of the family's 1533-position model. The record is from RNAcentral.